This 301-nucleotide ribosomal RNA is filed under the name uncultured bacterium. Its description in RNAcentral is "partial 16S ribosomal RNA". It matches the Rfam family "Bacterial small subunit ribosomal RNA", at positions 509 to 809 of the family's 1533-position model. The record is from RNAcentral.
CAGUCGCCGCGGUAAUACGUAGGUGGCAAGCGUUGUCCGGAAUUAUUGGGCGUAAAGGGCUCGCAGGCGGUUUCUUAAGUCUGAUGUGAAAGCCCCCGGCUCAACCGGGGAGGGUCAUUGGAAACUGGGAAACUUGAGUGCAGAAGAGGAGAGUGGAAUUCCACGUGUAGCGGUGAAAUGCGUAGAGAUGUGGAGGAACACCAGUGGCGAAGGCGACUCUCUGGUCUGUAACUGACGCUGAGGAGCGAAAGCGUGGGGAGCGGACAGGAUUAGAUACCCCCGUAGUCCCUGUCUCUUAUAA